This 403-nucleotide ribosomal RNA is filed under the name uncultured bacterium. RNAcentral's name for it is "bacterial SSU rRNA". It matches the Rfam family "Bacterial small subunit ribosomal RNA", at positions 29 to 460 of the family's 1533-position model. The record is from RNAcentral.
AACGAACGCUGGCGGCAGGCCUAACACAUGCAAGUCGAGCGAGACCUUCGGGUUUAGCGGCGGACGGGUGAGUAACGCGUGGGAAUAUGCCCUUCGGUUCGGAAUAGCCCCGGGAAACUGGGAGUAAUACCGGAUACGGUCUACGGACGAAAGAUUUAUCGCCGAAGGAUUAGCCCGCGUUGGAUUAGGUAGUUGGUGGGGUAAUGGCCUACCAAGCCGACGAUCCAUAGCUGGUUUGAGAGGAUGAUCAGCCACACUGGGACUGAGACACGGCCCAGACUCCUACGGGAGGCAGCAGUGGGGAAUAUUGGGCAAUGGAGGAAACUCUGACCCAGCGACGCCGCGUGCGGGAUGAAGGCCUUCGGUUGUAAACCGCGUUUCUAGCAGGGAAGGAAGCGAAAGU